RNAcentral lists this long non-coding RNA (969 nucleotides) under Homo sapiens (human). RNAcentral describes it as "long non-coding RNA NONHSAT196835.1". Lineage: Eukaryota; Metazoa; Chordata; Mammalia; Primates; Hominidae. The record is from RNAcentral.
GUUGAAGAAGCCACCAACAUUCUGACAGCAACAAGAAAAUGUUUCCGACACAUAGCCCUCGAUUAUGUGCUUCAGAUUAAUGUUCUUCAAUCAAAAAGGAGAUCAGAAAUCCUAAAAUCAAUGUUGUCAUUUAUGUAUGCCCAUUUGGCCUUCUUUCAUCAAGGAUAUGAUCUGUUUAGUGAACUUGGACCCUACAUGAAGGAUCUUGGUGCACAGUUGGAUCGACUGGUUGUGGAUGCAGCAAAGGAGAAAAGAGAAAUGGAGCAAAAACAUUCCACCAUUCAACAAAAGGUACCUCAGGGGAAAAAUUAAAAAUUAAUUCCACUUUAUACAAUGGCUUGGGUGUUGGUUUAUGCAAGGUAUCAUUGUAUUGGAACAAAUCUUUUGAGUUGUUCUAAUAAUUGUGCAGAUAAAUUCCUCUUUUGUUUUUGAAGAGCAAAAUGUUCUUCAGAUUUUAAGGUAUGUAUUUUGUUAUUUUUUCAGAUCUUUGAAAGCUAUGCUUCUUGAACCAGUUUAUAAAAAUUUGAAUCUCUUAGGAACUUAACUAAGCUAAAAGUGGCCUUUAGUUAGAAUUCAAAACACUAUUCAUAAUUACAUUUAGGAUACCACCAACUCCCUGUAAAAGUGUGUGUCCGUGUGUGUGUUGUGGGGCAGAGGGUGUGGAUGCACCUUAGUGUCAACAUGCGUGUUUGGUCUUACAGACUUUCCAACUGCAGUCACUGCAAGGCAGCCUUUCCUCUCUGUCACGAGAUGCUAAAACUUCACUUGCAUUGCCUGUUAAAUUGUCUAAGCCUAGCUAAACUUACUUUGAAAAUAUUUUUAAAAAUGAGAACUCAAAUAUUAAACCAGUUUUUAUUUCUUCAUGCUAAAAGAGUUUAGUGUGACAUUCCUGCAACUCAACUUUCUUAUAAAGUCAGUGGUGCUUUUUGUGUAGUUAUCUGAAAAUAAAAGGAGAGUGCUGAAGUUGAA